UGAAUGGCAUCACAACGUUCCUAAGACUCUUAUCGCCGAGUAGAAUUGGUGUGGGUGCUUGCUUUUCCUGGCAGUUACUAUUUCAAUCCAAAGAAACCUCAGUUUUAUGACAUAUGUGUCAUCAUCAAGGUUGUGGGGGUGGAUAUGAAUUGGAAGAAAUCAGUCAGCGAAUUACCAGCCAGUUGGGUACUACGACAACCGUCUGUUUUUACUAAUAAUGGUCCACAGGCGAAUCUCAUAUCGCCCCAAUAACCAUCAUCAGUUCCCUUUGGUGGGGUUGGACCUGUGAAAUAUCGCAUAGAGGAAUUAUGUCAUUGUCGUCUGGGCGAGGAUCGCGAGAGAAUUGCAGACAACAUUCCUCCUGCUUACCAUUUCCUCCUCCCGUGACAACUACCCCAACACUUUCUUCUGUGUUUCGUUGUGACUUUAUGCUUCUAGCAGAAUAUUCACAAGAACGACUCUUUCUCAUCAUGUUGUUGUAUUCUCGAAGCCACC
This 495-nucleotide small RNA is filed under the name Histoplasma capsulatum var. duboisii H88. Its description in RNAcentral is "Histoplasma capsulatum H88 hypothetical RNA". Lineage: Eukaryota; Fungi; Ascomycota; Eurotiomycetes; Onygenales; Ajellomycetaceae. The record is from RNAcentral.